This 305-nucleotide ribosomal RNA is filed under the name uncultured bacterium. RNAcentral's name for it is "partial 16S ribosomal RNA". It matches the Rfam family "Bacterial small subunit ribosomal RNA", at positions 505 to 809 of the family's 1533-position model. The record is from RNAcentral.
ACAGCAGUAGCCACGGGAAUACGAAGGGGGCUAGCGUUGUUCGGAAUUACUGGGCGUAAAGCGCACGUAGGCGGACAUUUAAGUCAGGGGUGAAAUCCCGGGGCUCAACCCCGGAACUGCCUUUGAUACUGGGUGUCUAGAGUAUGGAAGAGGUGAGUGGAAUUCCGAGUGUAGAGGUGAAAUUCGUAGAUAUUCGGAGGAACACCAGUGGCGAAGGCGGCUCACUGGUCCAUUACUGACGCUGAGGUGCGAAAGCGUGGGGAGCAAACAGGAUUAGAUACCCGAGUAGUCCCUGUCUCUUAUAA